AGAGUUUGAUCCUGGCUCAGGAUGAACGCUGACAGAAUGCUUAACACAUGCAAGUCUACUUGAUCCUUCGGGUGAUGGUGGCGGACGGGUGAGUAACACGUAUCCAACCUGCCUCAUACUCGGGGAUAGCCUUUCGAAAGAAAGAUUAAUAUCCGAUAGCAUAUAUUUCCCGCAUGGGUUUUAUAUUAAAGAAAUUCGGUAUGAGAUGGGGAUGCGUUCCAUUAGUUUGUUGGCGGGGUAACGGCCCACCAAGACUACGAUGGAUAGGGGUUCUGAGAGGAAGGUCCCCCACAUUGGAACUGAGACACGGUCCAA
RNAcentral lists this ribosomal RNA (315 nucleotides) under uncultured bacterium. RNAcentral describes it as "bacterial SSU rRNA". It matches the Rfam family "Bacterial small subunit ribosomal RNA", at positions 8 to 334 of the family's 1533-position model. The record is from RNAcentral.